CACAAAGUGUUUUGCUUCAUUUUUAAUUGUUAAUAUCACAAGCGAUCAUAGACUCGUAAAUUACAAAGCUCUUUUUACCCCCCUUCCUGCUAAUAUCGAAAAAAAUAUUAAAUUGUAUGCGAUGCUGCAGAAAAUUUGGGAAAACGUCCUAUAGAUAUGUAUGUUACUAUUGGAGCACAAACCAAAGUAAAUUUAACAAAAAAAAAAAUGCCGACC
This 216-nucleotide long non-coding RNA is filed under the name Mytilus galloprovincialis (Mediterranean mussel). The record is from RNAcentral. Lineage: Eukaryota; Metazoa; Mollusca; Bivalvia; Mytilida; Mytilidae.